This 1509-nucleotide long non-coding RNA is filed under the name Androctonus crassicauda. The record is from RNAcentral. Lineage: Eukaryota; Metazoa; Arthropoda; Arachnida; Scorpiones; Buthidae.
GUUAAUAAUGAAAUCUUAUUUAAUGAUCAAUCUAAAAUUCAAAAAUAAUAAUAAAUUUAUUAAUUUUAAAGAAGAAAUAAUCUUAAAUAAUAACUUAUUCUAAUACUUCUAUCCACUAAUACAGUAAAGUAAUCAGACAUUAAUAUCAUGAAAGAGAAUUGAAAGUCACUAGUACAGGAUACUGUUUUGCUAUAUUUUGAUUUGCCUCUGGACAAAAGUUUUUAGUAGUAACUUUUUACAAGUUCUGUACUUGGCUUAUUUAGAUACAUUCAUACAACUUACAAAAUGUUAUUCACAACUGUUUAUACCUACAAUCAUAUUUCAUUAAUCAAUCAGCAAUAAUAGCAGCUAAGUUUUUUUUUAUUUUAAAAUUACAAAUGUGAAACUUUGGAAAAUACAGAUUUGAAAAAUUUUUGUUUAAUAAUCCUACAUGUGCUAUCAUAAAUUUCAUUAAAGGAUAAAGUUAUAAUUUAAAUUUAAUUUUCAGACACCUUGUAUUUAGUAAGAUUCUGAUUGAGUUAGUAAAGUGGAUGACUAAUGAGAAAGUGAGGGAUAUGCAAUAUAGCUUCAGGAAUGAAAGAGAAUAUAUUGAUUAAAUUUCUCAUUGCAUAUGAUUGUGAAGAAAUAUCUUAAUAUGAAGAAGAUAUUCUUGAUAUUUUUGGAUCUUUAGAAAUAUUUAAUUAAGUGAAUAAAAGUAAACUUGGCUUGUAUGUAUUCAUUAUAUUUAAUAGAAUAAAAUAAGGAUACAAUAAAUAAUGAUACUAAAUCAACUAGGCUUUAAGAGAAUAACAAGCACUUUCAUUCUUAACAUAGAGACCAUCUUCCAUUUGAUGAAAAAACAGAAUGACAUAGAAUGAUACCAAUCAGCAGUAGUGAUGGGGAAGACCUUAAUAAAUGGGAAACCAGAACAAGUGGACAAGGGAGAGUGGGGAAAAAGCAAAAAAUUUAGCAAAACAAAACUGUGCAGAUGAAAACUAAAGAAUGAAUAGAAUUGUUAUGAUAAAGAAAAUGGAUAGCUAAUAGUAAGAGGGAAAAGGAGCAGACCUAUUGCAAAGAUAAAGAAAAGUGAAGUGUUAUACAGUUGCAAAAGGAAAAAUAGUAAAAAUGAUUGACUUUCAAAAGUAGAAAUAAAACAAGAAGAAAAAUUAUUAUAAAUGGGAAGGAAGAUGAAAAAAUAAAUAAAGGAUUAAUGUUAGAGGAUAGUUUUUUAUCUAGAUUCAAAAAAUACUUUUAAAUCUAAAUAAAACACUAUUGUGGCAGACUAAAGUUGCAGUAUCAAAAUGGAAAGGCUGCUGAAUGUAUGGGAAUGUUUUAUUUUUAAAGCUUCUGUGAAAUUUAAAGAGUUAACUAGGGUAUUAGACAUUAUAACUUUUUCAUCCUCUCAAGUAGGAGAGUACUUGUUGAUAAGUACUUUUUUUUUGGAUAAAGGAGGAGUAAUAAUAUUCUCUUUGGAUAUUAGAAGCAUAUUCUGCAAUAUGAGUUCCUAAGUUUCUGACUAUGAUACUAAUG